GAUGAACGCUGGCGGCGUGCCUAAUACAUGCAAGUCGAGCGAACGGACGAGAAGCUUGCUUCUCUCAUGUUAGCGGCGGACGGGUGAGUAACACGUGGAUAACCUACCUAUAAGACUGGGAUAACUUCGGGAAACCUUAUCUAAUACCGGAUAUUAUUUUGAACCCCAUGGUUCAUAAGUGAAAGACGGUCUUGCUGUCACUUAUAGAUAUAUCCGCGGUGCAUUAGCUAGUUGGUAAGGUAACGGCUUACCAAGGCAACGAUGCGUAGCCGACCUGAGAGGGUGAUCAGCCACACUGGAACUGAGACACGGCCCAGACUCCUACGGGAGGCAGCAGUAGGGAAUCUUGGGCAAUGGGCGAAAGCCUGACGGAGCAACGCCGCGUGAGUGAUGAAGGUCUUCGGAUUGUAAAACUCUGUUAGUGGGGAAGAACAUAUGUGUAAGUAACUGUGCACUUGAUGACGGUACCUGAUGAAAAAGCAACGGCUAACUACGUG
RNAcentral lists this ribosomal RNA (497 nucleotides) under uncultured bacterium. Its description in RNAcentral is "partial 16S ribosomal RNA". It matches the Rfam family "Bacterial small subunit ribosomal RNA", at positions 28 to 507 of the family's 1533-position model. The record is from RNAcentral.